This 1687-nucleotide long non-coding RNA is filed under the name Sarcophilus harrisii (Tasmanian devil). RNAcentral describes it as "lncRNA (ENSSHAG00000029139.1)". The record is from RNAcentral. Lineage: Eukaryota; Metazoa; Chordata; Mammalia; Dasyuromorphia; Dasyuridae.
CCUUGAGAGAUUGGCAGCCAUCUGAGUGGGUCUGGGGGUGACUGAGGUGACGCUACCCCGGGCCAGGGGUCGCCCAGCCAUGCUUAUUACCUCUUGUAGUCGCAGUUCUGGGCAGAUCCGAGUUCCUGACCAUCGUCCCGGCCCCGGAGCCCUUUACCGGGGCACCUCCUAUUACUUCAUCUGCAAAGGUAAAGGAGCGCUCCCAGCUCUCUCACCCCGGACCUCUCGAGUCUGUCCCCCUGUAGUCUCCUCCCUUUGCUCCCCACCUGCCUCUCCCUCACUCCUCUGUUCUUCGGACCGGCCGGUCCGUUAUUGGCAGCGUCUGGCGGGGAAGUCGAGGCUCGCCUUCGCUGGCUCGCACCCGAUGGGGAGGAGGUGACUCUUGGAGGGUCCCCCUUCUCGGCCGAGGCUUCCGUGGGGCUGCGGGUGAUCCUAAGCGAGCCAGCUCAGGGUGGGACCCUGGAGACACGCGAGAUUCAGCUCCGAGCCAUCGGUGCGUGCGUGGGUGGGGGAGGGAGGGGAGGAGUAGAGGCUCUGAAUAUGGAACACGAAGGGAUUGUGGGGAAGGCCUCGAGAGAGCAGCAGGAGAAAGCGAAAGGCGCAGGCCCCUCCUCCUCGGGGGCUUGGGAAAUGGGGGAUGCCCUGCGGGGCUCCGUGUGAAACACGGGGGGAGAGGGGGAAGCCUUGAGAUUGUGAAUCAUGGCUGGAAAUAAAAGAUGGAGUCUUGGUGGGGCAGGGGAUGAAGAAAGGGGGAUUCCAGUAGAAAAGUCCCCAAAGCUCCCCCUUUCCGACCUCCCUCCCUUCCCGCCCCGCAGAGAAGCCCCGGAGCCUUAGCCUUAUCCUCAGUCCCCCCGUUGGGGAGGAGGGCUCUGUCGCAGAGCUGCAGUGCAAGGUGUCAGGGAUCCCCCGGCCCAACAUUACCUGGGAGCAUCAGGGCUUGGUCCGGAGAUCAGGGUCGGGCGACCGUGCACGGUGAGACGCUGAUUAUCCGAGAACCGGAGCCGUCGGAUGCCGGGGUUUACCCUUGCGAGGCGUCCAUAGCCGAGCGCACGGAGAGCGCAGGGGAGAACAUGAUGCUGAGUGACUUUCCGUCCCCGACUGGAGGGACCCAAGGGGAACGCGGUGCGGACGCGCCGGGGACGGCUAACCACCCUGACCAUGUGGGUGCACUGGGAGCCGCUCCCGGAGCUCAACUUCUCUUGGAGUGGGAGCAGCCUCCAGGAAAUUCGCCAGGGGGCACCACACACACACGCAUCUUCCAGAAUCACCCUCCACAGUGCUGGGUCUUGGGGCCAUUUCAGGGCUUGCUUUGGCCCUUCUACUCAUCCUGGCCUUGGGAGUAGACGCCCUGUGCUGCUAUUCUCGACGUGUGGGACUAUUUGCCCGGGCUUUCCAUUGCUUUAAGAGAGCAGGACGAGAAUGGUGAGCCGGGAUGAGAGGGGGGAGAAGCAGGAAAAGGGUGGGGGAGGAGGGCGGGAGGAGGACCGCCUCUGGUCCCAGCCGGAGGCACCCGGACUGACCCCAGUCCUUUCUCUCCUCCGCGCAUGGCAAGGAUUCUUCCCCAGAGAAGCAUUCCCCCUAGAGUCUCUGGGCUUGGAGCCUGAAUACUGUGGUCUGGUGAUGGUUGGGAAAUUGGGGGGAGAGGUGGUAGGGGGAUUGUUCCAACUCCGAAUAAAGUUUAUUUUAU